GCUCGGGUAGCUCAGCGGGAGAGCACUGCUUUCACACAGCAGGGGUCCCUGGUUCGAUCCCAGGUCCGAGCA
RNAcentral lists this transfer RNA (72 nucleotides) under Asanoa ishikariensis. RNAcentral's name for it is "tRNA_Val_CAC". It matches the Rfam family "tRNA". Rfam says of the family: Transfer RNA (tRNA) molecules are approximately 80 nucleotides in length. Their secondary structure includes four short double-helical elements and three loops (D, anti-codon, and T loops). Further hydrogen bonds mediate the characteristic L-shaped molecular structure. tRNAs have two regions of fundamental functional importance: the anti-codon, which is responsible for specific mRNA codon recognition, and the 3' end, to which the tRNAs corresponding amino acid is attached (by aminoacyl-tRNA synthetases). tRNAs cope with the degeneracy of the genetic code in two manners: having more than one tRNA (with a specific anti-codon) for a particular amino acid; and 'wobble' base-pairing, i.e. permitting non-standard base-pairing at the 3rd anti-codon position. The record is from RNAcentral. Lineage: Bacteria; Bacillati; Actinomycetota; Actinomycetes; Micromonosporales; Micromonosporaceae.